UGGCGGAUGCCUAGGCUUUCAGAGGCGACGAAGGACGUGGUAAGCUGCGAAAAGCUGCGGGGAUUGGCACACACGAAUUGAUCCGCAGAUAUCCGAAUGGGGCAACCCAAUACAUUGAAGAUGUAUUACCUCGUAAGAGGAGCAAACCCGGAGAACUGAAACAUCUAAGUACCCGGAGGAAAAGAAAUCGAAGAGAUUCCGUAAGUAGUGGCGAGCGAAAGCGGAUUAGCCCAAAAGCUUUUAUAUGUUUAAUAGAAUGUUUUGGAAAGAACAGCCAUAGAGGGUGAUAGCCCCGUAAUCGAAAGGCAUACAUAGAUGAUAAAUGAGUAGGGCGGGACACGUGAAAUCCUGUCUGAAUAUGGGGGGACCAUCCUCCAAGGCUAAAUACUCCUGAAAGACCGAUAGUGAACAAGUACUGUGAAGGAAAGGUGAAAAGCACUUCGAAUAGAAGGGUGAAAUAGAACCUGAAACCGUACGCCUACAAGCGGUCGGAGCACCUAUAUGGUGUGACGGCGUGCCUUUUGCAUAAUGAGCCUACGAGUUAAUUUUACUAGCGAGGUUAAGGACUUCAGGUCCGGAGCCGGAGCGAAAGCGAGUCUGAAUAGGGCGCAUAGUUAGUAGGAUUAGACGCGAAACCUUGUGAUCUACCCAUGGGCAGGUUGAAGCUCUGGUAACACAGAGUGGAGGACCGAACCGGUUGACGUUGAAAAGUCUUCGGAUGACCUGUGGGUAGGGGUGAAAGGCCAAUCAAACUCCGUGAUAGCUGGUUCUCCCCGAAAUGCAUUUAGGUGCAGCGUUGCGUGGUU
Molecule: ribosomal RNA, 806 nt
Filed under: Aurantiochytrium limacinum
Lineage: Eukaryota; Bigyra; Thraustochytrida; Thraustochytriidae
Description: partial Bacterial large subunit ribosomal RNA
Rfam family: Bacterial large subunit ribosomal RNA
Source: RNAcentral